GAUGAACGCUGGCGGCGUGCCUAAUACAUGCAAGUCGAGCGGGAGAAUCAUCCUCCGGGAUGAGGAUCCAGCGGCGAACGGGUGAGUAACACGUGGGCAACCUGCCCGCAAGACCGGGAUAACUCCGGGAAACCGGGGCUAAUACCGGAUAGGCCUUUUCCCUGCAUGGGGAAAAGGGGAAAGGCGGCUUCGGCUGUCACUUGCGGAUGGGCCCGCGGCGCAUUAGCUGGUUGGUGAGGUAACGGCUCACCAAGGCGACGAUACGUAGCCGACCUGAGAGGGUGAUCGGCCACACUGGGACUGAGACACGGCCCAGACUCCUACGGGAGGCAGCAGUAGGGAAUCUUCCACAAUGGACGAAAGUCUGAUGGAGCAACGCCGCGUGAGUGAAGAAGGACUUCGGUUCGUAAAACUCUGUUGCAAGGGAAGAACAAGUAGCGUAGUAACUGGCGCUACCUUGACGGUACCUUGUUAGAAAGCCACGGCUAACUAC
Molecule: ribosomal RNA, 493 nt
Filed under: uncultured bacterium
Lineage: Bacteria
Description: bacterial SSU rRNA
Rfam family: Bacterial small subunit ribosomal RNA
Source: RNAcentral